UAAAGCUAUCAGACAGAAGUGUAACAGCAAAUAAGAUGUAGCGUGCAGUUGUGUAGAAGCACUCCUUCCUGAAAAAGGUUACAAUGAGCAAAAAGUUGAUGCAAAGAAAUAUAAUCACCAGGAUCUGCACAAUAAUGACUUUGUCAUUGAUCUGCUUAAGUGAGACCUCACCACCAGCCGAUGAGUUGUUAUCAGCCAUCACUUUUCUAAACAAAUAUACAGAUUAUUGAGGUACUUCCAAGUGUUAAAUUAUUAUUAUUAAAUGUCUCAGUGAAAAGAAAAUUAGAUUCCUAUCACAAAAAGACAAAACCCUUCCCUGCAGUAGCAUAGCGUUGUGGCACACAUUUCCAAAGACAGAUGUUGUCUGUAGAGGUCUUUGCAGUGUUCUGAGUGAGGGCUGCACAAUAAUAUUUUAUAGGAGCGACUAGAACACAUGUAGAGUGAGGGCAAAUUAAACUUUGCUCACCACAGUGUCAUCAUUGCCUCUUUCUGCAAGUCUCCCUGAGUGACUAUCACUAGACACAUCCAGGCUGUUGGUUAAUGUCAACUUUAUUAUCCCAAGUAGGGAAAUUAGGCUGGUCAAGGUGAAGAAGUACAAUAUUCAGUCAUUGUCAGGCUAUUGAAUUAAUACCUGUUGCUUCUUGUUCUCUUCUCUCAAUAAUUCCAGUGAGGCUACACAGGCAUCUAUAGAAAUGUAAAAUAAUGUAGAUUUGGACAUAAGGGCUUGGUGGAUUGUUGGGACUAACUCU
Molecule: long non-coding RNA, 749 nt
Organism: Dicentrarchus labrax (European seabass)
Lineage: Eukaryota; Metazoa; Chordata; Actinopteri; Moronidae
Exons: 3
Source: RefSeq, a predicted model, not a curated record